RNAcentral lists this ribosomal RNA (497 nucleotides) under uncultured bacterium. RNAcentral's name for it is "partial 16S ribosomal RNA". It matches the Rfam family "Bacterial small subunit ribosomal RNA", at positions 28 to 507 of the family's 1533-position model. The record is from RNAcentral.
GAUGAACGCUGGCGGCGUGCCUAAUACAUGCAAGUCGAGCGAACAGACGAGGAGCUUGCUCCUCUGACGUUAGCGGCGGACGUGUGAGUAACACGUGGAUAACCUACCUAUAAGACUGGGAUAACUUCGGGAAACCGGAGCUAAUACCGGAUAAUAUAUUGAACCGCAUGGUUCAAUAGUGAAAGACGGUUUUGCUGUCACUUAUAGAUGGAUCCGCGCCGCAUUAGCUAGUUGGUAAGGUAACGGCUUACCAAGGCAACGAUGCGUAGCCGACCUGAGAGGGUGAUCGGCCACACGGGAACUGAGACACGGUCCAGACUCCUACGGGAGGCAGCAGUAGGGAAUCUUCCGCAAUGGGCGAAAGCCUGACGGAGCAACGCCGCGUGAGUGAUGAAGGUCUUCGGAUCGUAAAACUCUGUUAUUAGGGAAGAACAAAUGUGUAAGUAACUAUGCACGUCUUGACGGUACCUAAUCAGAAAGCCACGGCUAACUACGUG